RNAcentral lists this ribosomal RNA (429 nucleotides) under uncultured Pseudomonas sp. RNAcentral's name for it is "bacterial SSU rRNA". It matches the Rfam family "Bacterial small subunit ribosomal RNA", at positions 954 to 1382 of the family's 1533-position model. The record is from RNAcentral. Lineage: Bacteria; Pseudomonadati; Pseudomonadota; Gammaproteobacteria; Pseudomonadales; Pseudomonadaceae.
AAGCAACGCGAAGAACCUUACCAGGCCUUGACAUGCAGAGAACUUCCAGAGAUGGAUUGGUGCCUUCGGGAACUCUGACACAGGUGCUGCAUGGCUGUCGUCAGCUCGUGUCGUGAGGAUGUUGGGUUAAGUCCCGUAACGAGCGCAACCCUUGUCCUUAGUUACCAGCACGUUAUGGUGGGCACUCUAAGGAGACUGCCGGUGACAAACCGGAGGAAGGUGGGGAUGACGUCAAGUCAUCAUGGCCCUUACGGCCUGGGCUACACACGUGCUACAAUGGUCGGUACAAAGGGUUGCCAAGCCGCGAGGUGGAGCUAAUCCCAUAAAACCGAUCGUAGUCCGGAUCGCAGUCUGCAACUCGACUGCGUGAAGUCGGAAUCGCUAGUAAUCGUGAAUCAGAAUGUCACGGUGAAUACGUUCCCGGGCCUU